AGUGAGCGCUCAUCACGGCCCCACCCGACGGCACCCGGUUGUUGUCCAGGCCCAGGGCUUCGGGAGAACACGUUUCUGUCUCCUCGGCCCUCAGGUAGGACAUUUCAGUGGCACCGCACACUGACCCGGACACACGCGUAUGCGGAAUUCAACCCGACGCAAACCUCAGCGGUCUGCUUUCUUCUGGAACUCCCAUCUGGAAUCCCUUUUCUCAUCUCCAUCCUCCUCAGGACCUCGCGCUCAGAAACACACUGUGUCACACUCAUCCACCUUCUCCCGGCUCCGUUCACCCUUCUUCACCUCCUAACACUCCCCGGAUCCUGUGCCGCUCAAAGUGAGUCUUCCACACCUCGGCCUCCCCAGAACCCAAGGGCUGAGAGGACGCCGCCUCCUGCCAGCUCUCCAGGCCACUCGGGGACGCGGCUCGCGGCGCCCCUCCCUAGGCGUUCAGCUCCCCGGGCGUCUGGGUCCCUUCACCUUUCAGGCCUUGCUUUGCUUAGCAUCGUGUCUGACGCCAAGCAGCUUCUCAACGAGGAGAAAACAUGGGAGCUCCAGGGAGUCAGCGGCAGAUCCAGAAACAGAGUCAAGCUCCCCUUACAUGCGAUGUGGGGCCCGCCCAUCCGUCCAGGCUGCCUCUCCUGCAUCUAAUCAGGUAUUAGCAUCUUUGUUUAAAGGAUGUAGACAUAGUCACUGGAAACUGAAGUUGGCUCAGAGGUUAAAGUGUCUGUCUGCGAUGCAGGAGACCUGGGUUCAAUCCCUGGGUCAGGAAGAUCCCCUGGAGAAUGAAAUGGCACCCUACUCCAGUAUUCUUGCCUGGAGAAUCCUAUGGACGGAGGAGCCUGGUGGGCUACAGUCCUCGGGGUCGCAAAGAGUCGGACACGACUGAGCGACUUCACUUUCACUUUUCACUUUUCACUUUCAUGCAAAGGAAAGUCUACAGACGUCAGGUUCCUCAUAGAUCAUAAAGACUGAUUCCAGAGUAAUUAAAGGUUUAAGAAAAGUAGGUGGAAUGUGAAGAAAUUAUACAAAAUAUAACCAAGUUCAGGCAAAAGGGUUGAAGCAAUAAAUGCCUUUGCUCUCCCA
Molecule: long non-coding RNA, 1083 nt
Filed under: Bos indicus x Bos taurus (hybrid cattle)
Lineage: Eukaryota; Metazoa; Chordata; Mammalia; Artiodactyla; Bovidae
Description: lncRNA (ENSBIXG00005029606.1)
Source: RNAcentral